ACGAACGCUGGCGGCGUGCUUAACACAUGCACGUCGAACGAAGAGCGAUGGAAGCUUGCUUCUAUCAAUCUUAGUGGCGAACGGGUGAGUAACGCGUAAUCAACCUGCCCUUCAGAGGGGGACAACAGUUGGAAACGACUGCUAAUACCGCAUACGAUCUAAUCUCGGCAUCGAGGAUAGAUGAAAGGUGGCCUCUACAUGUAAGCUAUCACUGAAGGAGGGGAUUGCGUCUGAUUAGCUAGUUGGAGGGGUAACGGCCCACCAAGGCGAUGAUCAGUAGCCGGUCUGAGAGGAUGAACGGCCACAUUGGGACUGAGACACGGCCCAGACUCCUACGGGAGGCAGCAGGGGGGAAUCUUCCGCAAUGGACGAAAGUCUGACGGAGCAACGCCGCGUGAGUGAUGACGGCCUUCGGGUUGUAAAGCUCUGUUAAUCGGGACGAAAGGCCUUCUUGCGAAUAGUGAGAAGGAUUGACGGUACCGGAAUAGAAAGCCACGGCUAACUACGUG
Molecule: ribosomal RNA, 509 nt
Filed under: uncultured bacterium
Lineage: Bacteria
Description: partial 16S ribosomal RNA
Rfam family: Bacterial small subunit ribosomal RNA
Source: RNAcentral